Molecule: transfer RNA, 97 nt
Filed under: Halarchaeum nitratireducens
Lineage: Archaea; Methanobacteriati; Methanobacteriota; Halobacteria; Halobacteriales; Halobacteriaceae
Description: tRNA-Gln
Source: RNAcentral
AUCCUUCCUCUCUGACGUGGUGUCGUCGAGCGUCCCCUGGUGACGCUCGGUAGCCAUCCGUGGUCGGCUCGCGCUGGUUCGAUUCCGGUGAUGGCUC